UGACGCUCCAUCGAGGCAGGGCGUCUGUGACAACCUUGUGUUGAUUCGCGAUCUAAUAGAAAUGAUAAAUUAAUUUUAUUUUUGUGUGUUUGUGUGUGAGGUGAUAUAGGAAUUGGUGAUAAAAAAACCGGAUGGAAAACAAUAGUGUCAGUGAAGUGACGUUAUGAUGUCAUUAGUGUCCGAUAGAUGGCGUUGUUCGAGAUGUGUGAUGAUAGUGUCAAUUGUUGAUUAUUAUUGUUUUCAGUGAAGUGAAGUGAGAUGCGAGACGGGUCUAAGCCUGGCCCGAGUGGAAGCUCGUCCGGGCAUGUUUUGGAUAAGGAUAAUGAUG
RNAcentral lists this unclassified non-coding RNA (328 nucleotides) under Melitaea cinxia (Glanville fritillary). RNAcentral's name for it is "misc RNA ENSMCXG00005001060.1". The record is from RNAcentral. Lineage: Eukaryota; Metazoa; Arthropoda; Insecta; Lepidoptera; Nymphalidae.